RNAcentral lists this ribosomal RNA (384 nucleotides) under uncultured bacterium. RNAcentral's name for it is "bacterial SSU rRNA". It matches the Rfam family "Bacterial small subunit ribosomal RNA", at positions 30 to 414 of the family's 1533-position model. The record is from RNAcentral.
AUUGAACGCUGGCGGCAUGCCUUACACAUGCAAGUCGAACGGCAGCACGGGAGCAAUCCUGGUGGCGAGUGGCGAACGGGUGAGUAAUAUAUCGGAACGUGCCCAGUCCGUGGGGAUAACGUAGCGAAAGUUACGCUAAUACCGCAUACGAUCUACGGAUGAAAGCGGGGGAUCGCAAGACCUCGCGCGAUUGGAGCGGCCGAUAUCAGAUUAGGUAGUUGGUGAGGUAAAGGCUCACCAAGCCGACGAUCUGUAGCUGGUCUGAGAGGACGACCAGCCACACUGGGACCUGAGACACGGCCCAGACUCCUACGGGAGGCAGCAGUGGGAAUUUUGGACAAUGGGCGCAAGCCUGAUCCAGCAAUGCCGCGUGCAGGAUGAAGG